GAGGGUAUAGCUGAGUGGUAAAGCAUGCCCCUAGCAUGCACAAGGUCCUGGGUUCAAUCCCCAGUACCUCCA
Molecule: transfer RNA, 72 nt
Organism: Camelus ferus (Wild Bactrian camel)
Lineage: Eukaryota; Metazoa; Chordata; Mammalia; Artiodactyla; Camelidae
Rfam family: tRNA
About the family: Transfer RNA (tRNA) molecules are approximately 80 nucleotides in length. Their secondary structure includes four short double-helical elements and three loops (D, anti-codon, and T loops).
Source: Rfam